UACGGAAGGCAGCAGUGGGGAAUAUUGCACAAUGGGCGCAAGCCUGAUGCAGUCAUGCCGCGUGUAUGAAAAAGGCCUUCGGGUUGUAAAGUACUUUCAGUCGUGAGGAAGGUGUUAAGGUUAAUAACCUUAGCAAUUGACGUUAGCGACAGAAGAAGCACCGGCUAACUCCGUGCCAGCAGCCGCGGUAAUACGGAGGGUGCGAGCGUUAAUCGGAAUUACUGGGCGUAAAGGGCACGCAGGCGGUUAAUUAAGUUGGAUGUGAAAUCCCCGGGCUUAACCUGGGAAUGGCAUUCAAGACUGGUUAGCUAGAGUCUUGUAGAGGGGGUAGAAUUCCAUGUGUAGCGGUGAAAUGCGUAGAGAUGUGGAGGAAUACCGGUGGCGAAGGCGGCCCCUGGACAAAGACUGACGCUCAUGUGCGAAAGCGUGGGGAGCAAACAGGGAUUAGAUACC
This 453-nucleotide ribosomal RNA is filed under the name uncultured bacterium. Its description in RNAcentral is "bacterial SSU rRNA". It matches the Rfam family "Bacterial small subunit ribosomal RNA", at positions 340 to 786 of the family's 1533-position model. The record is from RNAcentral.